Molecule: ribosomal RNA, 466 nt
Filed under: uncultured bacterium
Lineage: Bacteria
Description: partial 16S ribosomal RNA
Rfam family: Bacterial small subunit ribosomal RNA
Source: RNAcentral
ACGAACGCUGGCGGCGUGCUUCACACAUGCCAGUCGCACGGAAAGGCCCUGCUUUUGUGGGGUGCUCGAGUGGCGAACGGGUGAGUAACACGUGAGUAACCUGCCCUUGACUUUGGGAUAACUUCAGGAAACUGGGGCUAAUACCGGAUAGGAGCUCCUGCUGCAUGGUGGGGUUGGAAAGUUUCGGCGGUUGGGGAUGGACUCGCGGCUUAUCAGCUUGUUGGUGGGGUAGUGGCUUACCAAGGCUUUGACGGGUAGCCGGCCUGAGAGGGUGACCGGCCACAUUGGGACUGAGAUACGGCCCAGACUCCUACGGGAGGCAGCAGUGGGGAAUAUUGCACAAUGGGCGGAAGCCUGAUGCAGCAACGCCGCGUGCGGGAUGACGGCCUUCGGGUUGUAAACCGCUUUCGCCUGUGACGAAGCGUGAGUGACGGUAAUGGGUAAAGAAGCACCGGCUAACUACGUG